AUCACAUAGCGUUCAUUUCCCUAAGGGAGGAGAAAAAAUUAAAUUUGUAAGCUUAAGAUUCCAGCUGAAGUACUCAAGAAUCCUGUUUCUCUGACAGAGGAAAGGAACAACAACUUGACUGGACACAUCCUAACCCAACCAUACGCUGUGUUACUUCCUCCACUGCGCCACACACAGCUAUUAUUCUAAGCUCUCUUAUUCAAACCCUUAAGGAUUUGUAAGGAGAACACUAAGAAGAUGGGCAGAAAUCAAAGCUUCCUGGUGUGAGGUUGUGGUAGAAGAUUCCUGGUUGAUCAAUGUAUAGAAGAUGGAAAUGGAUUCCAGUUGUGGGAAGGAAGAAAUCAUUGCUGCAGUCUCAGUCUGCUCUGCAGGAAUAGACCAUCUGAGGACACAGCACGAAGGUGGCCAUCUGCAAUUCAAGGAGAGAAGCCUCGGGAGAAAAUAAACCUGCCGGCACCUUGAUCUUGGACUUUUAGUUUCCAGAGCUGUGAGAAAAUAAAUGUUUGUUGUUUAAGCCACCCAGUCCGUGGUAUUUUGUUAUGGCAAACCUAGCAGACUAAUACAGAGAAGGAUGAAAAAUGAAGAACAUUUUUUUUUUGGAGCCUAUUACAACAGAUGAAAAUUCAUGCCCUCUUACACCCUAAGUUUCAGAGUAGGGAAAUAAAUACUACAUGUAAUGAAGACAGCAAAUUAUACAAUAUAUGAGAAGGUAAUAAAUGCUGUGGAAGAAACUCGAAGGUUAUAUUGAACUAGGAGAUCAGCAGUGCUGGGGACAGAGGGUUACAGGUUUUGGUACCAGACAGGAAGAGCAGGGAGGCAUCAUUGAGAAGGUACCAACUGUGUACUCAGAAGAGAGGAGGCAGCUGGUUAUGAGGUCAUCUGGGGGACAGCACGACAGGUAGAGACAGGAAAAGUAUAAAGGCUCUGAGGUGGAACCUGAGGGUUGGAGGCACAGCAGGAAGCCAAGAUAGCUGGCAUUCACCAUAAGAAUGGUAGAAAGGAGUCUGAGGCAAGAUACAGGCCAGCCUGCAUGGGGCCUUGUAGACCGAGUAAAUACCUCGGAUGUUGCAAGGACUUUUCUGCCUUGCACGUUCUCCUUUCUCAAAAUCUGUUCCUUCUGUUUGUUCUACAAAUUCCUAGUUUCUGAAAACCAGCUACUGAUCUGGUCUAAUUUUCUCUUUUUAUCAUAGGGUAAAAGAUACUUGAAUAAUAUUCCACAUAUCACUACACUCAGAUUCUACUCUUGAUUCUGAAGUUUUUGUUUGUUUGCUUUUUACUAACAUCAUCUUCUCCCUCAACUACCUAAUCUUUGGCUUUCCUAAAUUGGGAAAAUUAAUAUGACAUAAGUUUCUUCAUCAGAUAUAUCCUCAAAAUGAUGGUUAACUGAGCCAAGGUCAUAUUGGAAAAGGGUUUGAAAUGAGAACAUAUGGACA
This 1433-nucleotide long non-coding RNA is filed under the name Homo sapiens (human). RNAcentral describes it as "HSALNT0347342". The record is from RNAcentral. Lineage: Eukaryota; Metazoa; Chordata; Mammalia; Primates; Hominidae.